RNAcentral lists this ribosomal RNA (1377 nucleotides) under Triticum aestivum (bread wheat). Its description in RNAcentral is "partial small subunit ribosomal RNA". Lineage: Eukaryota; Viridiplantae; Streptophyta; Magnoliopsida; Poales; Poaceae. The record is from RNAcentral.
AUGUGUGAGAUCAGCUCCAUGGGAUUUUUAGACCUAUCAAACAACAAACUUUCUGGGGAGGUUCCAGCUUGUGUUUUUACUAAUUCUCCCGGGCUAUUCAUCUUGAAGGUCUCAAACAACAAGCUUGGUGGUCCGAUUUUUUGUGGGAUGAAUAAUCUGUCAAAUAUAUAUGAAUUGUGCUUGGAUGGUAACAAAUUUAAAGGGACAUUGCCUCAUGAUCUGGCAGGAAAGUUUCUACAGGUCAUUGAUUUGCAUGACAACGAGCUGUCUGGGGAACUCGAUACGGCAUUUUGGGAUCUGCCAUCUUUGUCAGUCCUGAAUCUUGCUGGAAACCGUAUAACUGGAAAAAUUGAUCAACACAUUUGUGGCUUCACAGGCAUUCGCCUUUUAGAUCUGUCGCGCAACAACCUUACAGGAUCUGUACCAAACAGUUGCUUCAUAGGGCUGAAUUUUCUUAAUCUUACUGGGAACUCCUUAUCUGGUGAUAUCUCUUUUCCCCUUUUCAACACAUCAAGUCUGAUUGCUUUGGAUAUGAGACACAAUCAGUUCAUGGGCAACCUCAAUUGGGUAAGUUACCUUGACAACAUUAGGCUACUUUCGCUGGGUGGAAAUAAGUUUGAAGGGCAAAUCACUCCAACCCUGUGCAGACUCAUGUACUUGAGGAUACUUGAUUUUUCACAUAACAAGCUUUCAGGUUCUCUGCCAGCAUGUAUUGGUAAUAUCUCUUUCAAAGGUGAUAGGGUCGAUGCAAUUUUUCAGUCAGUAUCUGAGAGUAAACUGUACUUUGGUGGAUAUGACUUAAGUGGCUUCACCUUUGCUACCAAAGGAAAUAUUUACACGUACGGUCGCGAUUUCUUCGAUUCAAUGGCUGGAAUCGACUUAUCUGCAAACAUGUUGCAUGGAGAAAUUCCCUGGGACCUAGGGAACCUAAGCCAUGUCAAAUCCCUUAACCUGUCAUACAAUUUCUUUGUUGGCCCGAUCCCGCCGACCUUGGGCAGCAUGGAGGAGAUAGAAAGCUUGGACCUCUCCCACAAUGAACUGAGUGGACUAAUACCUUGGCAGUUAAAUCAAUUGUCAUCAUUGGGGGCAUUCUCUGUGGCAUACAACAACUUGUCAGGAUGCAUACCAAACUAUGGACAGCUCGGUUCAUUCAGCAUGGACAGCUACCUAGCCAACACCAACCUUCACGAUAUUACUCAGGGGAAUACUUGUGCUGCUCCCGGUCCAGAUCCUGCUGUGGGGAAUGAUGUGGAAGAGACGCCCAAUGACCUAGUUCUAUAUGUUGUCACAACUGCCGGUUUUGUGUUGACAUUUUGGGCCACCGUUGGGUUCUCAUUUUGCCAUCCUUACGGAAGAUCUGUGAUGCUCAAGCUGUAG